CCCUGAGCCUCAACGACCGAAACGAACAAGACGGUGACUGAAACCUGCGACAAUGUUUUUAGUUUAUCUCCCGUCCGUUACAUUUAACGUCAUUAUUAGCAGACGAAAGCCGGAGCUGCCGUUCAAAGGAGAAAAGACGAGAUGAGGACGAUGGAAACAGGAAGCAGCCAACAACUAAAUGGGUCCAAGCAUCAGAGCACAUGGCAGAAGAAAGAGAAAACGUACCCACUCUCCUGUGUGCAAAGGCCUCGGCCGCCUUAUGGAACAAGGAAAACACUGUCAGCGCCAAAAUACAGUCCUUCAGUAAAAAGACAUUACUUUGUUGUACUCAGAUCCACGUAUAUUCACAAUACCAAAAUACUAUAAAACCUAAUACUAUUAUACUAAAUGUAUUGUGUUAGUGCUAAAAUAAAUAUAAUGAAGUGAUGAAAGUAAUUUACUACUUUACUAAUGAAAGUAAUGAAACACGGUGAAAAUAGAACCAGUGCCCACGGUGACUGUGGGAAUGUAACAUAACAGCCUCGUGAGCUGCACAAGCCUUUGGCUCCUUUGUCAUUUACUGACAACAUCGCUGCAAAAUUAUAAAUAAAACAACUUGUUUUGUCACCAAAGUUAUUAGAUGCGUGUGUUUUAUCAGAAUCUUUUUGGGCUGGCGAUGGAAACCUGUCCAAACCAACUGCAGGCCUGAAUGAAUGAGAAUGAAUGAAGUCUGUCUAGUUUUCCUGUUUUCUGCCUCUUGGUUCAAAAUGAUGCGACUUUAAAAGAGCAAACUUACUUUCUGGCUGAGAAAG
Long non-coding RNA from Betta splendens (Siamese fighting fish), 791 nucleotides. RefSeq lists it as uncharacterized. The record is from RefSeq and is a predicted model, not a curated record. NCBI's taxonomy places the organism in Eukaryota, Metazoa, Chordata, Actinopteri, Anabantiformes, Osphronemidae. The transcript has 3 exons.